This 510-nucleotide ribosomal RNA is filed under the name uncultured bacterium. Its description in RNAcentral is "bacterial SSU rRNA". It matches the Rfam family "Bacterial small subunit ribosomal RNA", at positions 17 to 518 of the family's 1533-position model. The record is from RNAcentral.
UCCUGGCUUAGGAUGAACGCUAGCUACAGGCUAACACAUGCAAGUCGAGGGGCAGCAUGUUGGUGCUGCAACCGAUGAUGGCGACCGGCGCACGGGUGAGUAACGCGUAUCCAACCUUCCCCUUAGUAGGGCAUAGCCCGUAGAAAUGCGGAUUAAUACCCUAUGUUCUUCGAAGCGGUCAUCCAAUUUGAAGCAAAGAUUCAUCGCUAAGGGAUGGGGAUGCGUCCGAUUAGGUUGUUGGCGGGGUAACGGCCCACCAAGCCAUCGAUCGGUAGGGGUUCUGAGAGGAAGGUCCCCCACAUUGGAACUGAGACACGGUCCAAACUCCUACGGGAGGCAGCAGUGAGGAAUAUUGGUCAAUGGGCGAGAGCCUGAACCAGCCAAGUAAGCGUGCAGGAUGACGGCCCUAUGGGUUGUAAACUGCUUUUAUCAGGGGAUAAAGUGACCCACGUGUGGGUUUUUGUAGGUACCUGAUGAAUAAGGACCGGCUAAUUCCGUGCCAGCCGCCGC